CCUACGGGUGGCAGCAGUGAGGAAUAUUGGUCAAUGGGAGAGAUCCUGAACCAGCCAAGCCGCGUGAGGGAAGACGGCCCUAUGGGUUGUAAACCUCUUUUGUCGGAGAACAAAACCCGGGACGUGUCCCGGACUGCGUGUAUCCGAAGAAAAAGCAUCGGCUAACUCCGUGCCAGCAGCCGCGGUAAUACGGAGGAUGCGAGCGUUAUCCGGAUUUAUUGGGUUUAAAGGGUGCGUAGGCGGUCCGUUAAGUCAGCGGGAAAAUUGAGGGGCGAAACCCCGUCGAGCCGUUGAAACUGGCAAGAUUGAGUUGGCGAGAGGUACGCAGAAUUCGCGGUGUAGCGGUGAAAUGCGUAGAGAUCGGGAAGAACUCGGAUGGCGAAGG
This 385-nucleotide ribosomal RNA is filed under the name uncultured bacterium. RNAcentral's name for it is "partial 16S ribosomal RNA". It matches the Rfam family "Bacterial small subunit ribosomal RNA", at positions 338 to 721 of the family's 1533-position model. The record is from RNAcentral.